RNAcentral lists this unclassified non-coding RNA (427 nucleotides) under plant metagenome. Its description in RNAcentral is "partial contains 5.8S ribosomal RNA, internal transcribed spacer 2, and large subunit ribosomal RNA". It matches the Rfam family "Bacterial small subunit ribosomal RNA", at positions 358 to 777 of the family's 1533-position model. The record is from RNAcentral.
GGAAUCUUCCACAAUGGGCGAAAGCCUGAUGGAGCAACGCCGCGUGGGUGAAGAAGGUCUUCGGAUCGUAAAACCCUGUUGUUAGAGAAGAAAGUGCGUGAGAGUAACUGUUCACGUUUCGACGGUAUCUAACCAGAAAGCCACGGCUAACUACGUGCCAGCAGCCGCGGUAAUACGUAGGUGGCAAGCGUUAUCCGGAUUUAUUGGGCGUAAAGAGAACGCAGGCGGUCUUUUAAGUCUGAUGUGAAAGCCUUCGGCUUAACCGGAGUAGUGCAUUGGAAACUGGGAGACUUGAGUGCAGAAGAGGAGAGUGGAACUCCAUGUGUAGCGGUGAAAUGCGUAGAUAUAUGGAAGAACACCAGUGGCGAAAGCGGCUCUCUGGUCUGUAACUGACGCUGAGGUUCGAAAGCGUGGGUAGCAAACAGGA